UACAGUUUGAUCAUGGCUCAGAAUCAACGCUGGCGGCGCGCUUAACACAUGCAAGUCGAACGAGAAAGCCGGGGCAACNNNNUGAGUAAAGUGGCGUACGGGUGAGUAACACGUGGGUAAUCUACCUUCUGGUGGGGAAUAACCCUGGGAAACCGGGGCUAAUACCGCAUAACCCCGCAAGGGAAAAGUAGCAAUACGCCGGAAGAGGAGCCCGCGGCCGAUUAGCUAGUUGGUAGGGUAACGGCCUACCAAGGCUGCGAUCGGUAGCCGGCCUGAGAGGGCACACGGCCACACUGGCACUGAAACACGGGCCAGACUCCUACGGGAGGCAGCAGUGGGGAAUCUUGCACAAUGGGGGAAACCCUGAUGCAGCGACGCCGCGUGAGCGAUGAAGCCCUUCGGGGUGUAAAGCUCUUUCGGCAGGAACGAUAAUGACGGUACCUGCAGAAGAAGCUGCGGCUAACUACGUGCCAGCAGCCGCGGUAAUACGUAGGCAGCAAGCGUUGUUCGGAGUUACUGGGCGUAAAGAGUGCGUAGGUGGUUCUCUAAGUUCGGUGUGAAAUCUCCCGGCUCAACUGGGAGGGUGCGCCGAAAACUGGAGGGCUUGAGUAUGGGAGAGGAGAGCGGAAUUCCUGGUGUAGCGGUGAAAUGCGUAGAUAUCAGGAGGAACACCUGUGGUGCAGACGGCUCUCUGGACCAUUACUGACACUGAGGCACGAAAGCGUGGGGAGCAAACAGGNNUAGAUACCCUGGUAG
This 756-nucleotide ribosomal RNA is filed under the name uncultured Acidobacteriota bacterium. RNAcentral describes it as "bacterial SSU rRNA". It matches the Rfam family "Bacterial small subunit ribosomal RNA", at positions 1 to 793 of the family's 1533-position model. Lineage: Bacteria; Pseudomonadati; Acidobacteriota. The record is from RNAcentral.